GUCUUUAUCUUCUUUU
RNAcentral lists this small RNA (16 nucleotides) under Arabidopsis thaliana (thale cress). Its description in RNAcentral is "ATSL285170". The record is from RNAcentral. Lineage: Eukaryota; Viridiplantae; Streptophyta; Magnoliopsida; Brassicales; Brassicaceae.